GACGAACGCUGGCGGCGUGCUUAACACAUGCAAGUCGAACGGAAAGGCCCUGCUUGUGUGGGGUGCUCGAGUGGCGAACGGGUGAGUAACACGUGAGUAACCUGCCCUGGACUUUGGGAUAACUUCAGGAAACUGGGGCUAAUACCGGAUAGGAGCUCCUGCUGCAUGGUGGGGGUUGGAAAGUUUCGGCGGUUGGGGAUGGACUCGCGGCUUAUCAGCUUGGUGGUGGGGUAGUGGCUUACCAAGGCUUUGACGGGUAGCCGGCCUGAGAGGGUGACCGGCCACAUUGGGACUGAGAUACGGCCCAGACUCCUACGGGAGGCAGCAGUGGGGAAUAUUGCACAAUGGGCGGAAGCCUGAUGCAGCAACGCCGCGUGCGGGAUGACGGCCUUCGGGCUGUAAACCGCUUUCGCCUGUGACGAAGCGUGAGUGACGGUAAUGGGUAAAGAAGCACCGGCUAACUACGUG
Molecule: ribosomal RNA, 468 nt
Filed under: uncultured bacterium
Lineage: Bacteria
Description: partial 16S ribosomal RNA
Rfam family: Bacterial small subunit ribosomal RNA
Source: RNAcentral